Non-coding RNA from Aedes albopictus (Asian tiger mosquito), 117 nucleotides. The record is from Rfam. NCBI's taxonomy places the organism in Eukaryota, Metazoa, Arthropoda, Insecta, Diptera, Culicidae.
UGCCCAGCAACUCCUAUCCCUACCUCCACGAGGUACCGGCCGGAAACUAUGAGCAACCAUAGGGAAGAUCGGGUAACCACCCCGGUGGGAACUUUGGUCGUAGGCUGACAGGGAAGG